RNAcentral lists this transfer RNA (88 nucleotides) under Prevotellaceae bacterium. RNAcentral describes it as "tRNA-Ser". It matches the Rfam family "tRNA". Rfam says of the family: Transfer RNA (tRNA) molecules are approximately 80 nucleotides in length. Their secondary structure includes four short double-helical elements and three loops (D, anti-codon, and T loops). Lineage: Bacteria; Pseudomonadati; Bacteroidota; Bacteroidia; Bacteroidales; Prevotellaceae. The record is from RNAcentral.
GGAGAGGUGCUCGAGUGGCUUAAGAGGCACGCCUGGAAAGCGUGUAGACCUCAAAAAGGUCACGGGGGUUCGAAUCCCCCUCUCUCCG